This 1148-nucleotide ribosomal RNA is filed under the name Ilyoplax pusilla. Its description in RNAcentral is "partial 16S ribosomal RNA". Lineage: Eukaryota; Metazoa; Arthropoda; Malacostraca; Decapoda; Dotillidae. The record is from RNAcentral.
UAGUUUAUAAUCUUGUUGGUAAAUUUAGAAACUUGGUUAGUAAGAAAAAUAAUUUGUAAUUAAAGUAGUUUUUAGUGAAACAUAAAAUCAACUAUAGUUUAAGAGUACUGUGGAGGAAAGAUAAAUUUAAUUAGAAUUUUAAUAGUAGGUUUAAAAUACCGUACCUUGUGUAUCAGGGAGAAUCAAUAUAGAUCAGUAAAUUUAGUAGUCUCGAAGCAGGGACAGUUAAUUUUAUAAAAUCUUCUUUGUAGUAAAAGAGUGUUAAAUGUAAAAUUAAAGAUGAAAUAUCAGUCGAGCCUUGGUAUAUCUAGUUUUUUCGGAUAUAAAUUUAAUUUAGGUCUUUUGUUAAUAAAAUUUAAAGUCAAAAUACAGGAGGGAGAAGCUUCUUGUAAAAGUUGAAUUGAAAAGUUGUGUAUAGGAGAAAUAUUUGAACUAAGCUUAAAAGUAGCUAUGUUAAUAAAGUGUUUUAACUAAGAGUAACCUCGAAGAAUAUAUAUUAUAUACUUUUAAAAAUUACGAAAAAAUUAAUUUAAAUAUAAAAGGUAAAGUUACAAUGGUUUUAUAAGUAGGAAAUAGUGUGAUAAUAAAAAAAUGAAAUAAUAAGGGUAUUGUGUUUAUUAUUGUGGAAAUAUAGAGGAACUCGGCAAAUAGUUUUCUUGCCUGUUUAUCAAAAACAUGUCUGUUUGAAGGUAUAAAGAGUCUGACCUGCCCACUGAUAAAAUUUAAAGGGCCGCGGUAUUUUGACCGUGCAAAGGUAGCAUAAUCGUUUGGUUUUUAAUUGAGAUCUUGAAUGAAUGGUUUGACAAAGAAAAAUCUGUCUUUAUAUUAAUAAUUGAAUUUAACUUUUAAGUGAAAAGGCUUAAAUUUUUUAGGGGGACGAUAAGACCCUAUAAAACUUUAUGUAAGACUUAAUACUGGAUUGAAAUGUUUAUAUAAAGAUUUGGUAUAAGUUCACAUUAUAUUGGGGUGAUAAAUAUAAAAAGGUUAGUAACUGUAGAAAGCUAUAGACAAAUAUAGGUGUUUAGUGAUUAAAUGAUCCUAAUUAGAGAUUACAAGUUUAAGUUACUUUAGGGAUAACAGCGUUAUUCUUUUUGAGAGUUCUUAUCGAAAAAAGAGGUUGCGACCUCGAUGUUGAAUUAAAAUUUCUG